RNAcentral lists this ribosomal RNA (259 nucleotides) under uncultured bacterium. Its description in RNAcentral is "partial 16S ribosomal RNA". It matches the Rfam family "Bacterial small subunit ribosomal RNA", at positions 95 to 354 of the family's 1533-position model. The record is from RNAcentral.
UUGGCGGACGGGUGAGUAACGCGUGAGGAACCUGCCUUUCAGUGGGGGACAACAGUUGGAAACGACUGCUAAUACCGCAUAACGUACUGGUAUCGCAUGGUACUGGUACCAAAGAUUUAUCGCUGAGAGAUGGCCUCGCGUCUGAUUAGCUAGUUGGUAGGGUAACGGCCUACCAAGGCGACGAUCAGUAGCCGGACUGAGAGGUUGGCCGGCCACAUUGGGACUGAGAUACGGCCCAGACUCCUACGGAAGGCAGCAG